Molecule: ribosomal RNA, 261 nt
Filed under: Crypthecodinium cohnii
Lineage: Eukaryota; Dinophyceae; Gonyaulacales; Crypthecodiniaceae
Description: partial Bacterial large subunit ribosomal RNA
Rfam family: Bacterial large subunit ribosomal RNA
Source: RNAcentral
GCGGGGAAAAGUGUCAGAUGGGUAGUUUUACUGGGACGGUACCCUCCAAAAUAUCAUCGGAGGGGUCCAAUAGGUACACAUAGCUUAGACGGGGACUAAGUGAUCAUGAAUGAUCUAAAACAGCAUAAUGGCGUAAGUGUGCUAGACUGAAAGACUGACAGGUCGAUCAGAUACGUAAGUAGGGCAUAGUGAACCGAUAGUAUGUUAUGGUACAGCUAUCGUUCAACGGAUAAGUUACGCUAGGGAUAACAGGCUAAUAGC